AGUGAACGCUGGCGGUAGGCCUAACACAUGCAAGUCGAACGGCAGCACAGGAGAGCUUGCUCUCUGGGUGGCGAGUGGCGGACGGGUGAGGAAUACAUCGGAAUCUACUCUGUCGUGGGGGAUAACGUAGGGAAACUUACGCUAAUACCGCAUACGACCUACGGGUGAAAGCAGGGGACCUUCGGGCCUUGCGCGAUUGAAUGAGCCGAUGUCGGAUUAGCUAGUUGGCGGGGUAAAGGCCCACCAAGGCGACGAUCCGUAGCUGGUCUGAGACGAUAAUGAGCAACAAGGAAACUGAGACACGGUCCAACCUCCUACGGGAGGCAGCAGUGGGGAAUAUGGGACAAUGGGCGAAAGCCUGAUCCAGCCAUACCGCGUGGGUGAAGAAGGCCUUCGGGUUGUAAAGCCCUUUUGUUGGAAAAGAAAUCCAGCUGGCUAAUACCCGGUUGGGAUGACGGUACCCAAAGAAAAAGCACCGGCUAACUUCGUGCCAGCCGCCGCUGUAA
RNAcentral lists this ribosomal RNA (506 nucleotides) under uncultured bacterium. Its description in RNAcentral is "partial 16S ribosomal RNA". It matches the Rfam family "Bacterial small subunit ribosomal RNA", at positions 29 to 523 of the family's 1533-position model. The record is from RNAcentral.